Molecule: ribosomal RNA, 250 nt
Filed under: uncultured bacterium
Lineage: Bacteria
Description: partial 16S ribosomal RNA
Rfam family: Bacterial small subunit ribosomal RNA
Source: RNAcentral
ACGUAGGUAGCGAGCGUUGUCCGGAAUUACUGGGUGUAAAGGGAGCGUAGGCGGGAUUGCAAGUUGAAUGUCAAAUCUACGGGCUUAACCCGUAGCCGCGUUCAAAACUGCAGUUCUUGAGUGAAGUAGAGGCAGGCGGAAUUCCUAGUGUAGCGGUGAAAUGCGUAAAUAUUAGGAGGAACACCAGUGGCGAAGGCGGCCUGCUGGGCUUUAACUGACGCUGAGGCUCGAAAGCGUGGGUAGCAAACAG